Molecule: long non-coding RNA, 1445 nt
Filed under: Equus caballus (horse)
Lineage: Eukaryota; Metazoa; Chordata; Mammalia; Perissodactyla; Equidae
Description: lncRNA (ENSECAG00000060058.1)
Source: RNAcentral
CAGGACGGCCACAUAUUUUAUUUUUGAAAAUUAUAUUAUUGAAGUGACAGUAGUUUAUAACAUUGUGAAAUUUCAGCAUUUUCCAAACUGCUGAUAAAUCCCAACAGCUGAAGACCAACAAGAACCAAUCUAGAGUCCAAAGAAGUUAUUAUUAACUUGCUGCAACAAGGAAGAAUACCCCUACAGAAACCAUAAAGUACCUCACCAAAUAAAAGACAGCAUAAGGAUAUAAGAUGAUUUUGAAGAAGGGUGGAGUUUAGGUAUUGCCAAAGCGUCAUCAGGGUUUAGUUCUUGCUGCUAUGCUGCCCCAGGGUGCUAAAAUGUGAAUGAUGUAUAAUAUCCCUAUGGAUGCGAUCAGUCUAAUCAAAGCGGCCCUGGAGCCUAGGUUUCACUUCUUUGAGUUUAGCGAGUCCAGCUCUUACUGCCAAGCACAACUUCCUCAGCACACAGCAAAGAUUUGAGAUACACUGCUUCUAUGUUUAGCUUCCCAUUUCCCUGCAUCUCCUGAAUCUCAGAAGAAGCCAAGUGCUGUUGUUCCUAUUAGCCUAAUUGCUGUAUCCUUUCUGCAGACACUGACCCCUCCUUCUGGGUGACUUAGGCUACCCUGUUGCUACAUACUGUUUUCUGUGAAGCCAUGGACUGCAUCUUAGUUGAUUCUCACCUAGUCAACUCUGCACCAGAAGAACAGGAGUAGCCACAUCCAUUCAGCUGCUUAAAAAGGGAGGAAAUUUUAAUUAUUUUCGUUGAUCUGUGCCCUACUUUGUCUUCUUCAAUCAUAUUUUUACUCUUAAUCAGAAAUAUAUUUUCCUUUCCUAAUGAAUAUUCCAAUGAGCUCUGGAGAUCUGGUGUUCCAUGUAUGGUGCAUUCCUGAGCUCCUGUCAUAUUAAAUUUGCAUACCCAUUCAUACCUAUGUAGCAUUACUUGCUUAACUGAGGAAGGAGUAGGUAAGGAGUGAGCAUAAUAUGCCACUGAUGUUUCAUUGUUUGUAUUUUUUUUUUUCUAAUGAGGCUUGUAAACUAUUUUAUUCAUUUAGAAAAAAAGAAGAAAAACUGGCCUAAGAAACUUAGUGUUGAAAAAAAGGAAAAGAGAGCACAUAGAGUACACAGCAAUAGUGCAAAUCAAAAAGUGCGUACACAUUUUAUGAGAAAAACAAAAGAAUAGAAAGAACAGACUGGUGGUUACCAGAGGGAGGGGGAGGAGGAUGGGAAAAUGGGUGAAGGCUAUCAAAAGACACAAACUUCCAGUUAGAAGGUUAAUAAGUUCUAGGAAUAUAAUGUACAGCAUGGUGACUAGAGUUAAGAAUACUAUACUGUAUAUUCGAAAGUACCUAAGAGAGCAGAUUUUAAAAGUUCUCACCACACACAAAAAAAAUGUAUAACUAUGUGAGGAGAUGGAUACGUUAACUUAUUGUGGCAAUAAUUUGGCAAUAUAUACAUAUAUAAAAU